ACCUUUCUGAAUCUGUGUUCAGAUUUCGUCAGACACCAACCCAUUAGGGCUGAUCAAACUCCUAAGAUAAGUGAAGUU
Non-coding RNA from Schistosoma haematobium, 78 nucleotides. NCBI's taxonomy places the organism in Eukaryota, Metazoa, Platyhelminthes, Trematoda, Strigeidida, Schistosomatidae. The record is from Rfam.